GAUGAACGCUGGCGGCGUGCCUAAUACAUGCAAGUCGAGCGAACAGACGAGGAGCUUGCUCCUCUGACGUUAGCGGCGGACGGGUGAGUAACACGUGGAUAACCUACCUAUAAGACUGGGAUAACUUCGGGAAACCGGAGCUAAUACCGGAUAAUAUAUUGAACCGCAUGGUUCAAUAGUGAAAGACGGUUUUGCUGUCACUUAUAGAUGGAUCCGCGCCGCAUUAGCUAGUUGGUAAGGUAACGGCUUACCAAGGCAACGAUGCGUAGCCGACCUGAGAGGGUGAUCGGCCACACUGGAACUGAGACACGGUCCAGACGCCUACGGGAGGCAGCAGUAGGGAAUCUUCCGCAAUGGGCGAAAGCCUGACGGAGCAACGCCGCGUGAGUGAUGAAGGUCCUCGGAUCGUAAAACUCUGUUAUUAGGGAAGAACAAAUGUGUAAGUAACUAUGCACGUCUUGACGGUACCUAAUCAGAAAGCCACGGCUAACUACGUG
This 497-nucleotide ribosomal RNA is filed under the name uncultured bacterium. RNAcentral's name for it is "partial 16S ribosomal RNA". It matches the Rfam family "Bacterial small subunit ribosomal RNA", at positions 28 to 507 of the family's 1533-position model. The record is from RNAcentral.